This 373-nucleotide ribosomal RNA is filed under the name uncultured organism. RNAcentral's name for it is "partial 16S ribosomal RNA". It matches the Rfam family "Bacterial small subunit ribosomal RNA", at positions 527 to 896 of the family's 1533-position model. The record is from RNAcentral.
GUAGGUGGCAAGCGUUGUCCGGAAUUAUUGGGCGUAAAGCGCGCGCAGGCGGUUCUUUAAGUCUGAUGUGAAAGCCCACGGCUCAACCGUGGAGGGUCAUCGGAAACUGGAGAACUUGAGUACAGAAGAGGAAAGCGGAAUUCCACGUGUAGCGGUGAAAUGCGUAGAGAUGUGGAGGAACACCAGUGGCGAAGGCGGCUUUCUGGUCUGUAACUGACGCUGAGGCGCGAAAGCGUGGGGAGCAAACAGGGAUUAGAUACCCUGGUAGUCCACGCCGUAAACGAUGAGUGCUAAGUGUUAGGGGGUUUCCGCCCCCUUAGUGCUGCAGCUAACGCAUUAAGCACUCCGCCUGGGGAGUACGGCUGCAAGGCUG